GAUGAACGCUGGCGGCGUGCCUAAUACAUGCAAGUCGAGCGAACGGACGAGAAGCUUGCUUCUCUGAUGUUAGCGGCGGACGGGUGAGUAACACGUGGAUAACCUACCUAUAAGACUGGGAUAACUUCGGGAAACCGGAGCUAAUACCGGAUAAUAUUUUGAACCGCAUGGUUCAAAAGUGAAAGACGGUCUUGCUGUCACUUAUAGAUGGAUCCGCGCUGCAUUAGCUAGUUGGUAAGGUAACGGCUUACCAAGGCAACGAUGCAUAGCCGACCUGAGAGGGGGAUCGGCCACACUAGAACUGAGACACGGUCCAGACCCCUACGGGAGGCAGCAGUAGGGAAUCUUCCGCAAUGGGCGAAAGCCUGACGGAGCAACGCCGCGUGAGUGAUGAAAGUCUUCGGAUCGUAAAACUCUGUUAUUAGGGAAGAACAUAUGUGUAAGUAACUGUGCACAUCUUGACGGUACCUAAUCAGAAAGCCACGGCUAACUACGUG
This 497-nucleotide ribosomal RNA is filed under the name uncultured bacterium. RNAcentral describes it as "partial 16S ribosomal RNA". It matches the Rfam family "Bacterial small subunit ribosomal RNA", at positions 28 to 507 of the family's 1533-position model. The record is from RNAcentral.